CUCCUGUGUACGUAUCAGACAGAUGGGCCCUGGUGAACCGAAAUUUGCACGGCGACGACGGAUGGAGGCCGAGCCGUGGCCCGAGACGUCACCGGCGUCCUGACCCGUGGAUCAGAAUCGGCGCCUUCCGGUAGCGCCGGCAGUGCACGCAGUAAUUGCUUGUAGGUAGGAAACUGGUAGGUGAGGAAGUGUCUUUGGACUUCGCAUUCUUCCCAGGCGGCGAGGUGCUGCGGAGAUCUACUACGACGAAGGCGAUUGGGCGCUCCAGCGAGGUCCGAGGCCAUGGAGUUCUUGAUGCAGCCGAUAAACAGAACGCUACUGGUGGAGGUGAACGAUAAUGACAUCACGAUGGGUGCUGUGCGUGUCCCGCUGGAUGCGCCAGCAUAUGUUGAGCUUGCAGCGCCGGCUGCUUCGAGUGCGGAUGGCCAGAUCUGGCGUGAGGAGGGCGGUGCAGAGGCUGGAAGUGCAGAUAAGGCUCAGUGUUCGGAGCACUCCAUAGAACAAUUGGACCCAAAAACACCAGGUUGGACACAAAGAGUGCAUGUAGGUGCUGCUGCUCUGGGCAGGGCUCCUUGCGCGGACAGGGUGACAGUCCUGGAGAAGACAAUCCGGGAAUUUGCAGAGCAACCUGGAGACAUUGUCAUUGUGCCAAGAUAGGAACAAGUUUCGACACACUUGGUGAGGCCUAUAACUUUUACAACUUGUACUCUUGGGAGAAAGGAUUUGGAAUUAGAUAUGGAAAGAGCAGAAUGAAUGUCAACUGGACAAAGUGUAUGCAAGAGAUAGUAUGUGGAUCCGCGGUAUGACAGGGGAAACCAAUUGUUGAAAAUACACGUUCAUGUCGAUGUGAAUGCCCAGCUCUCAUGAGAUUGUUGCGGAAGUAUAUGAGCUUAAUCUUUGACAGUGAGUCUGAAGAGAAUUAUGAGGAGAAGUGGACAGCAAUCAUAAGCACCCCCACCCCCCCACCCCCCCCCCCCCCCCCCCCCAAUGCUAUGAGAUUUUGAAAUACUACUGAUGUGGUCUGACUGGCUUCAUUACUAACGUCUGAACUUUUUUUAUGUUGGUAGGGAAGGCAGCUAAUGCGAGCAAAUAUGGCAACGGAGAGACAUGCCGGCAAGAUAUAUACUAGAGCUAUGUUUGAACAGUUAGGGCAUAUACUUUUAUGAGUGUGGUGCAUAUCAAGUGGAGGAGAUCGAAAAGGGUAAAAGGUAUGUUGCAAUACAUACUGAUACAACUCGGAGGGAGAGGUCGUGCAGAACUUCUCACAAGGUGACGGUGAUUGAAGGAGGGGAAGAAUGUGACUGUGAGUGUGGACAAUUUGCACACAUGGGGCUGUUGUGCAGCCACAUCCUGAAGGUGCUAGACUUCAUCCGUGUGACCGAAAUCCCAAAGAAACGUAUUGUGAAGAGGUGGACUAGAGAUGCGAGAGAUAUCCUUCCAGCACACCUUAUGCGGUACCAGAAGGACAAUGCUUAAGAAAACCCAUUCAAUUUCCGUCAUUUCAACAUGUAUAUGCAAGCUAUGGAGCUUGUGCGGAUGCGGGGUUGUAAUGUCGCAGUAUAUGAACAUUUGAUUUCAUUGUUCAAGCAUUGUGCAGCUGAAAUGAAGCCAUUCGCUGAUGUCCGAGAUGGAUUAGGACUGGAAGACAGGUUAGCAGACAAUAUGAAAGUGCCAAAUAGGGUACAAUCACAAGGAGAUGUAUACCCAGAGGUAGAUGGUACGCAUAUUACAAAUGGUGGCGGUGACAGCAAUUCAGCAAAUGAGUUUGCUGCCAGCUAAACGGAAGCAACUCGAUAGACCUACAACAAGUAGGGAGAAAGCACCAUAUGAAGGUUUGAGUAAGAGAACAAGAUUUUGUGGCAUCUGCAGGCAGCAAGGCCACAAGCGAACAACUUGCCCUGAACGCGGGGAUGUACCGAAACAACACCAUGGGGAUGCACCUCUCAAACUGAAGUGAGAGGUGCCUCAUGGGAGCUUUCUCGGGGUGGUUCUUCAGUGAUAGAAAUUGAAGAAUACUCAAAGGGGUGCAAUGGUUUGAUCCAGCUAGUUCUGAAACAUCAGUUAACCAGGCAGAUGAGCGUGCGCAUGUGAGGAGUGGGGAUUCAGGGAUUUCCUCUCUGUCCCUGCAGGUUACCGGCGCUGGCGAUCUUAGUGAUGCAGAGGAGGUAGAGGAGCUGGCCGUCCCACAUGGGGAGCAAGGUGGAGGUAGUGCAGAUGAGGGAUACGGCGAGCAUGACCCUGCUGCUUGUGACUCUGAAGGCGAGUGUGCAAAUUCAGAGAGUCUGUACUUAAAAGAAGAUGACACUGUAGAGGAGAGCAACCGCAACAACGCCAAGCGUGCUAGAAUUAACUAGGAGUUGGCAAAGUGUAAUGCAUGGUGUGUUCAUUCAGCGUAGGUAAUGACGCCUUUGCCUAGCUGAUGACGUGCGCAGUGAAUAAUUAGUGUGCGUGUGUGUAGAAUCUGUGCAUCUUUGUCCGGUGAUUGUUCAGUCCAGUGAGAAACAAUGUAAGACCUCUGUUUCUGCUUGAUUAAAAUAAUGACGAUUUGCCAUUUCGUUGA
This is a non-coding RNA of Aegilops tauschii subsp. strangulata, 2560 nucleotides long. The record is from RefSeq and is a predicted model, not a curated record. NCBI's taxonomy places the organism in Eukaryota, Viridiplantae, Streptophyta, Magnoliopsida, Poales, Poaceae.